GCUGUUUCUCAAAGAGUAAAUUCUGAAUAGCUCUUAAUAUUGAUGUAUUUGCCAUUCCUGUCCCUUUCAGGUGACCUCUCCUCUUACCCAGCUCUCCUUGCAACCUUCUCCUCCUCUCCCUUCCACGGUCCGCAUUAAAGAGGAGCCCGGCAGCCGGACGUCUCCAUCCUCCUGCUGUCUGGUGUCCCAGUCUGCGGCACCCCUUAUAGACAAGGACCAGAUGCUGCAGGAGAAGGACCGGCGCAUUCAGGAGCUCACACGCAUGCUGCUGCAGAAACAGCAGCUGGUCGAAUCUCUGCGCUCGCAGCUGAAGGGCAAGCGUGUGGGCGCGCCGGUCCGAGUGAAAGAGGACCUUCCUGGUGUCACUAUGGAGCUGAUCAGAGCGACCGUUAAGGAAGAGGUCAUAGAGGUGAUGGAAGACAGCGAGAUGGUGACAGAGCCGCAGGUGUUCCCGCAGGCAGGGCAGAUGCAGCAGCAAAGGACGGUGACUGCAAUAGAGCUGGAGCAGGACCAGCAGCAGCUUAUAAUGCAACAGAAUCGGCGCAACCUGCAGCAACAAGUACAUCAGAGGAAGAGGAAAACACAAAAACAACAGCACAACCAACAAAAACAACAGUUGCCUCAAGCACUUACCAACCAGCAGGCAAGUCCUGUUUCUUCAUUCCCAGUGGAUGUACUGGACUCGAACUCCACCCCCACCAUAGUGACCGACAGCAAUGGCAACCAGUUCCUGCUAACACUGUCGAAUCAAAACACAGAGACACGGGCCAGAGGCCGCCGCGCCCAGAACAAAAGACUACAGUCUACACCCACCAUGUUUACCAACCAAUCCGUGACUGAAUUCCUUAACAAAAACAACCAAUCAGAACAGCCCAUACAAACCGUCAUUUUGAAACAGCCAAUCAAAAAGGCACUAAAGCCAGACCUAAAUGUGACGACCAAUUACAAAGCAUCAAGCUGCACAUCCAUCUCAUCACCAGCCAACAUCCAACCGUUCCUCUCUCCAGUGGAUUCCAUGAACGACACUGAACCCGUCCCCUCAUCUCCCAACAACAACAACGUAAGUGUCUGGUUUGUGUACAUGCUAAAGAUCUGUUCCAAAACCUGGUGUGCUAGACAU
Molecule: long non-coding RNA, 1120 nt
Organism: Sinocyclocheilus grahami
Lineage: Eukaryota; Metazoa; Chordata; Actinopteri; Cypriniformes; Cyprinidae
Source: Ensembl